Molecule: ribosomal RNA, 429 nt
Filed under: Chloroflexota bacterium
Lineage: Bacteria; Bacillati; Chloroflexota
Description: Chloroflexi bacterium partial 16S ribosomal RNA
Rfam family: Bacterial small subunit ribosomal RNA
Source: RNAcentral
UGGGGAAUAUUGCACAAUGGGCGCAAGCCUGAUGCAGCCAUGCCGCGUGUGUGAAGAAGGCCUUCGGGUUGUAAAGCACUUUCAGCGGGGAGGAAGGCGAUAAGGUUAAUAACCUUGUCGAUUGACGUUACCCGCAGAAGAAGCACCGGCUAACUCCGUGCCAGCAGCCGCGGUAAUACGGAGGGUGCAAGCGUUAAUCGGAAUUACUGGGCGUAAGGCGCACGCAGGCGGUCUGUCAAGUCGGAUGUGAAAUCCCCGGGCUCAACCUGGGAGAUGAGUUGGAAACUGGGAGGCAGGAGGCGUGUAGAGGAGGGUAGAAUUCCAGGUGUAGCGGUGAAAUGCGUAGAGAUCUGGAGGAAUACCGGUGGCGAAGGCGGCCGCCUGGACAAAGACUGACGCUCAGGUGCGAAAGCGUGGGGGGCAAACAGG